Molecule: ribosomal RNA, 35 nt
Filed under: Polyblastidium hypoleucum
Lineage: Eukaryota; Fungi; Ascomycota; Lecanoromycetes; Caliciales; Physciaceae
Description: Heterodermia hypoleuca partial 18S ribosomal RNA
Source: RNAcentral
AAAAAGUUUCGUAGGUGACCUGCGGAAGGACAUUA